UGGCGGCGUGCCUAAUACAUGCAAGUCGAACGCUUCUUUCCUCCCGAGUGCUUGCACUCAAUUGGAAAGAGGAGUGGCGGACGGGUGAGUAACACGUGGGUAACCUACCCAUCAGAGGGGGAUAACACUUGGAAACAGGUGCUAAUACCGCAUAACAGUUUAUGCCGCAUGGCAUAAGAGUGAAAGGCGCUUUCGGGUGUCGCUGAUGGAUGGACCCGCGGUGCAUUAGCUAGUUGGUGAGGUAACGGCUCACCAAGGCCACGAUGCAUAGCCGACCUGAGAGGGUGAUCGGCCACACUGGGACUGAGACACGGCCCAGACUCCUACGGGAGGCAGCAGUAGGGAAUCUUCGGCAAUGGACGAAAGUCUGACCGAGCAACGCCGCGUGAGUGAAGAAGGUUUUCGGAUCGUAAAACUCUGUUGUUAGAGAAGAACAAGGACGUUAGUAACUGAACGUCCCCUGACGGUAUCUAACCAGAAAGCCACGGCUAACUACGUGCCAGCAGCCGCGGUAAUACGUAGGUGACAAGCGUUGUCCGGAUUUAUUGGGCGUAAAGCGAGCGCAGGCGGUUUCUUAAGUCUGAUGUGAAAGCCCCCGGCUCAACCGGGGAGGGUCAUUGGAAACUGGGAGACUUGAGUGCAGAAGAGGAGAGUGGAAUUCCAUGUGUAGCGGUGAAAUGCGUAGAUAUAUGGAGGAACACCAGUGGCGAAGGCGGCUCUCUGGUCUGUAACUGACGCUGAGGCUCGAAAGCGUGGGGAGCAAACAGGAUUAGAUACCCCUGGUAGUCCACGCCGUAAACGAUGAGUGCUAAGUGUUGGAGGGUUUCCGCCCUUCAGUGCUGCAGCAAACGCAUUAAGCACUCCGCCUGGGGAGUACGACCGCAAGGUUGAAACUCAAAGGAAUUGACGGGGGCCCGCACAAGCGGUGGAGCAUGUGGUUUAAUUCGAAGCAACGCGAAGAACCUUACCAGGUCUUGACAUCCUUUGACCACUCUAGAGAUAGAGCUUUCCCUUCGGGGACAAAGUGACAGGUGGUGCAUGGUUGUCGUCAGCUCGUGUCGUGAGAUGUUGGGUUAAGUCCCGCAACGAGCGCAACCCUUAUUGUUAGUUGCCAUCAUUUAGUUGGGCACUCUAGCGAGACUGCCGGUGACAAACCGGAGGAAGGUGGGGAUGACGUCAAAUCAUCAUGCCCCUUAUGACCUGGGCUACACACGUGCUACAAUGGGAAGUACAACGAGUCGCUAGACCGCGAGGUCAUGCAAAUCUCUUAAAGCUUCUCUCAGUUCGGAUUGCAGGCUGCAACUCGCCUGCAUGAAGCCGGAAUCGCUAGUAAUCGCGGAUCAGCACGCCGCGGUGAAUACGUUCCCGGGCCUUGUACACACCGCCCGUCACACCACGAGAGUUUGUAACACCCGAAGUCGGUGAGGUAACCUUUUUGGAGCCAGCCGCCUAAGGUGGGAUAGAUGAUUGGGGUG
RNAcentral lists this ribosomal RNA (1475 nucleotides) under uncultured organism. RNAcentral describes it as "SSU rRNA". It matches the Rfam family "Bacterial small subunit ribosomal RNA". The record is from RNAcentral.